Molecule: ribosomal RNA, 874 nt
Filed under: Seimatosporium grevilleae
Lineage: Eukaryota; Fungi; Ascomycota; Sordariomycetes; Amphisphaeriales; Sporocadaceae
Description: LSU rRNA
Rfam family: Eukaryotic large subunit ribosomal RNA
Source: RNAcentral
GAAACCAACAGGGAUUGCCCUAGUAACGGCGAGUGAAGCGGCAACAGCUCAAAUUUGAAAUCUGGCCCUUGGGUCCGAAUUGUAAUUUGUAGAGGAUGUUUUUGGUGCGGUAUCUUCCGAGUUCCUUGGAACAGGACGCCUUAGAGGGUGAGAGCCCCGUACGGUUGAAUGCCUAGCCUUUGUAAAACUCCUUCGACGAGUCGAGUAGUUUGGGAAUGCUGCUCUAAAUGGGAGGUAAAUUUCUUCUAAAGCUAAAUACCGGCCAGAGACCGAUAGCGCACAAGUAGAGUGAUCGAAAGAUGAAAAGCACUUUGAAAAGAGGGUUAAAUAGCACGUGAAAUUGUUGAAAGGGAAGGAUUUAUGACCAGACUUUUUCUAGGCGAAUCAUCCGGUGUUCUCACCGGUGCACUUCGUUUAGUUUAGGCCAGCAUCGAUUUUCGGGGCGGGAUAAAAGCUUUAGGAAUGUGGCUCCUUUCGGGGAGUGUUAUAACCUAUUGUAUAAUACCGCCCUGGGGAUCGAGGUACGCGCUUCUGCAAGGAUGCUGGCGUAAUGGUUAUCAAUCACCCGCCUUGAAACACGGACCAAGAAGUCGAACAUUUGUGCAAGUGUUUGGGUGUUAAACCCUCACGCGUAAUGAAAGUCAACGGAGGUGAGAGCCCUUACGGGUGCAUCAUCGACCGAUCCUGAUGUCUUCGGAUGGAUUUGAGUAAGAGCAUAACUGUUCGGACCCGAAAGAUGGUGAACUAUGCGUGGAUAGGGUGAAGCCAGAGGAAACUCUGGUGGAGGCUCGCAGCGGUUCUGACGUGCAAAUCGAUCGUCAAAUCUGCGCAUGGGGGCGAAAGACUAAUCGAACCAUCUAGUAGCUGGUUACCG